Molecule: ribosomal RNA, 406 nt
Filed under: uncultured bacterium
Lineage: Bacteria
Description: partial 16S ribosomal RNA
Rfam family: Bacterial small subunit ribosomal RNA
Source: RNAcentral
AUUGAACGCUGGCGGCAGGCCUAACACAUGCAAGUCGAACGAGUGGCGGACGGGUGAGUAAUGUCUGGGAAACUGCCUGAUGGAGGGGGAUAACUACUGGAAACGGUAGCUAAUACCGCAUACCAUCGGAUGUGCCCAGAUGGGAUUAGCGAGUAGGUGGGGUAACGGCUCACCUAGGCGACGCUCCCUAGCUGGGCUGAGAGGAUGACCAGCAACACUGGGACUGAGACACGGUCCAGACUCCUACGGGAGGCAGCAGUGGGGAAUAUUGCACAAUGGGCGCAAGCCGGAUACAGCCAUGCCGCGUGUAUGAAGAAGGCCUUCGGGUGGUACAGUACUUUCAGCGGGGAGGCGUUACCCGCAGAAGAAGCACCGGCUAACUCCGUGCCAGCAGCCGCGGUAAUAC